Molecule: non-coding RNA, 240 nt
Organism: Paramuricea clavata
Lineage: Eukaryota; Metazoa; Cnidaria; Anthozoa; Malacalcyonacea; Plexauridae
Source: the annotation of a GenBank genome assembly
GCGAUAUUUGUAGAGAAGGCUUGCAGUUGGCUUUAGAAAAUGUAGAAAGAGCACUUAAUACCUCCAGCAUGUCUAGUUCAGCUAUGUUAUCGAAUGUGACUGAAAAUACAACAAGUAACACCCCACCAGUACCCAGUCAAGCCCCCACAUCACCUCAAAAUGCAAGGCUCUAGUGCUAGCACUGCAAGCACGUCGUUAUUACGGAAUCAAUAUUCAAGUCAGCUUGGUACAUCAAAUGAA